Molecule: long non-coding RNA, 2357 nt
Organism: Oncorhynchus tshawytscha (Chinook salmon)
Lineage: Eukaryota; Metazoa; Chordata; Actinopteri; Salmoniformes; Salmonidae
Source: Ensembl
UGCACGCAAGUGUGUGCAAGGCGGUAUUGAAUGAAUCACCAACUGUCACCUCAACAUUUUCUCUCAAACUGUGUGCACCUACAUUGUAAACUUUCAUUCAUAGGCUAGGUUGUAGCAACCUCAUGAUGGGUACAGGGAACAUUCUAGCACCACGUAGUAGUCUAAACCUAUUGAUGUUACAUUGAACUGGGUGAAUGGAAUAUGAAUGGCACUCAUCCAGUAUGCUCUUAUAGAAAUAAGGCUAUGCUCAUAAAAACAAAUGUCUGUCCUCCCACACCUUAAAUGGCACCAACUGCCACUGUUCUACAGUAAUAUCCUCAGUGCUGAAAUUAUCCUUAGGCACAUGUAUAUAAUGAGCUUAUACCUUCCCCAAUAUCUUACCCUAACCACUAGAAAGGGAAACACAAAACUAGGGGUAACUUCAUAUCCUCAAAGUGUUGGGGAGGCAGGUAGCCUAGUGGUUAGAGGGUUGGGGAGGCAGGUAGCCUAGUGGUUAGAGUGUUGGGGAGGCAGGUAGCCUAGUGGUUAGAGGGUUGGGGAGGCAGGUAGCCUAGUGGUUAGAGUGUUGGGCCAGAUCGAAUCCCUGAGCUGAUGAGAUAAAAAUCUGUUGUUCUAACCCUGAACAAGGUAGUUAACCUGCUGUUCCUAGGCUUUCAUUGUAAAUACGAAUGUGUUCUUAACCGACUUGCCUACUUAAAUAAAAGGUUACAAAUAUAUAUAAAAAUAAUAACGUACAUAUGCAAGUGAGAGAUUUUAAAUGAGCAUGUUAAUGUGUAUAAGAAAAGGGAUACUAUGGACUCUUCUUUGGAUGGUGUUUUUACCAGACAUGAGAACAGUCUUAAUAGUCUGUGAAUAUACAGCCACAGGUCAUGAUCAGUUGUGGAAUGUAUAAGCAUCAGCCGGAUGGGAUUAUUUCUCCUGGGAUUAUUUCAUAUGAUUAGGAGUGAGGGGGUUAUAGCUUCUGGUUGGAAAUGUGCAGUAAUAUUACCUGUUGUAAAGCUGACCUCUAACUUCAUGACAAAUCUUUCCAGUCUCCUGAGGGUGAAUAGGUUUUGUCAUGCCCUCUUCACGGCUGUCUUGGUGUGAUUGGACCAUGUUAGUUUGUUGGUGAUGUGGACACCAAGGAACUUGAAACUCUCAACCUGCUCCACUGCAGCCAUGUCGAUGAGAAUGGGGGCGUGCUCGGUCCUCUUUUUCCAGUAGUCCACAAUCAUCUCCUUAGUCUUGAUCACAUUGAAGGGGAGGUUGUUGUCCUGGAACCACACGGCCAGGUCUCUGACCAUGAUUGGGAAGCCCAUAGGGCGGCGUACAAUUGGCCCAGCGUUGUCCGGGUUUUGGCCGGUGUAGGCCGUCAUUGUAAAUAAGAAUGUGUUCUUAACUGACUUGCCUAGUUAAAUAAAGGUUAAAUAAAAUAAAAUAAAAACUAAGCAUGACAAGCCCCAAUGUGCACAGGCAAGUUCAAUGACAGAUGGGUGGAGAUUUAGCUUUUUAUGUAAUAAACGUCUGCCAAUAACCAACCAAUGUCUUUCUCCCUGAAGUUUGAGUACAGUGGCGAGCUGAAGAUACAGCACUGUUUCCACCCCUGAAUUAGCUCACCAGUCCAGACAGUUUACCAAGUAUUCAUUUGUUGCUGAUUCACAUGCUGUAUGGAAUGUCAGUCCCCUGACCCAUAAGGUCAGAUGAAUGAUAAUAUGUGGAGUGUGUGAACCUUCUCACAGUGUACACAUUUCUCAGCCCUAUAAUUAACUUUUACCCAAACAACACAGACAAUUUGCUUGAUGUGGCCUUUACGAGGCCUUUGAACUACGAGCUGACCCAUGGCGACCCUGCGUCUGAUGCCAAAAUACACAGGCAGCUUAUUGUGAAGGGAUAUAAAUAAUGUUGCUGAGUAAGGAGAAUGGAACUAGCAGUCUCUCUGGUCACCCAAAUGCCAUCUGUGUGGAUGAAUCAUCAUCAGUGCUAUGUAAAAGUGUACUGUACUAUGUGUCAUCAAGCAACACGUAACAAGCCGUGUUAUGGUGAUGAAUUAUAUUGUUCUUUUUCUUAAUGAUGAGGACACAAAAGUGGGUUGUGCUCUCUUGGGACAUUCAUUGGUUUCUUGUAUUGGCUUGUGUACAGAGAGUUAAGGACAGUCACCACUGUAGUUACAGACUGUGUUAAGGACAGUCACCACUGUAGUUAUAGACUGGGUUAAGGACAGUCACGACUGUAGUUACAGACUGGGUUAAGGACAGUCACCACUGUAGUUACAGACUGAGUUAAGGACAGUCACUACUGUAGUUACAUUAAGGACAGUCACUAAUAAACACAAUUUGCAGUCAUACAUGACUCUGUGUGUGUGUGUGUGUGUGUGUGUG